Molecule: ribosomal RNA, 252 nt
Filed under: uncultured bacterium
Lineage: Bacteria
Description: partial 16S ribosomal RNA
Rfam family: Bacterial small subunit ribosomal RNA
Source: RNAcentral
GACGGGGGGGGCAAGUGUUCUUCGGAAUGACUGGGCGUAAAGGGCACGUAGGCGGUGAAUCGGGUUGAAAGUGAAAGUCGCCAAAAAGUGGCGGAAUGCUCUCGAAACCAAUUCACUUGAGUGAGACAGAGGAGAGUGGAAUUUCGUGUGUAGGGGUGAAAUCCGUAAAUAUUGUAAAGACAUUCAAUAGGUGAAAACGACUAACUAUAUUAUUACUGACGCUGAGAGGCAAAAGCAUGGGGAUCAAACAGG